This 207-nucleotide ribosomal RNA is filed under the name uncultured bacterium. RNAcentral's name for it is "partial 16S ribosomal RNA". It matches the Rfam family "Bacterial small subunit ribosomal RNA", at positions 568 to 774 of the family's 1533-position model. The record is from RNAcentral.
CUCGUAGGCGGUUCGUCGCGUCCGGUGUGAAAGUCCAUCGCUUAACGGUGGAUCCGCGCCGGGUACGGGCGGGCUUGAGUGUGGUAUGGGAGACUGGAAUUCCCGGUGUAACGGUGGAAUGUGUAGAUACCGGGAAGAACACCAAUGGCGAAGGCAGGUCUCUGGGCCGUUACUGACGCUGAGGAGCGAAAGCGUGGGGAGCGAACA